Molecule: ribosomal RNA, 383 nt
Filed under: uncultured eukaryote
Lineage: Eukaryota
Description: partial 18S ribosomal RNA
Rfam family: Eukaryotic small subunit ribosomal RNA
Source: RNAcentral
CAAUAGCGUAUAUUAAAGUUGUUGCAGUUAAAAAGCUCGUAGUUGGAUUUCUGGUGGGAGCGAUCGGUCUGGCGCUUAGCGCGAGUACUUGCAUCGUCUCCGGCCAUCCUUGGGGAGAGUCUGUCUGGCAUUAGGUUGUCGGGCAGAGGAUCCUCAUCGUUUACUGUGAAAAAAUUAGAGUGUUCAAAGCAGGCUUAUGCCGUUGAAUAUAUUAGCAUGGAAUAAUAAGAUAGGACUUUGGUACUAGUUUGUUGGUUUGCGCACCAAAGUAAUGAUUAAUAGGGACAGUUGGGGGUAUUCGUAUUCCGUUGUCAGAGGUGAAAUUCUUGGAUUUACGGAAGACGAACUACUGCGAAAGCAUUUACCAAGGAUGUUUUCAUUAA